This 254-nucleotide ribosomal RNA is filed under the name uncultured bacterium. RNAcentral describes it as "partial 16S ribosomal RNA". It matches the Rfam family "Bacterial small subunit ribosomal RNA", at positions 524 to 776 of the family's 1533-position model. The record is from RNAcentral.
UACGUAGGGGGCAAGCGUUGUCCGGAUUUAUUGGGCGUAAAGAGCUCGUAGGUGGUUCGGUAAGUCGGAUGUGAAAUCUCCAGGCUCAACCUGGAGGGGUCAUUCGAUACUGCCGUGACUAGAGGUCGGUAGGGGAGUGUGGAAUUCCUGGUGGAGCGGUGAAAUGCGCAGAUAUCAGGAGGAACACCCGUAGCGAAGGCGGCACUCUGGGCCGAUUCUGACACUGAGGAGCGAAAGCGUGGGGAGCGAACAGG